GCACUUGAAGACCUCAGAGUGAUUCUUAAUGCAAUAUUUCACAAAUGCAUGGGGUGUCCGAAAACUUUUUUUCCACCACUGUAUAUCAAACAAGGAGAAAAUGGAGAUUUUGGUUUGUCUGUAACACACUACAGCUGUCUUCUUUCAGUGACAGUGGGUUACCCUUUUUAAGGUUCAUGAUUGCUAUGCGAUCAGUAAAACAUUGCUUUAGAAUAAGCAUAUGCUACAGAAGACUGCAUUUUGUUGUUUUGC
This is a long non-coding RNA of Myripristis murdjan (pinecone soldierfish), 252 nucleotides long. RefSeq lists it as uncharacterized. The transcript is spliced from 3 exons. The record is from RefSeq and is a predicted model, not a curated record. NCBI's taxonomy places the organism in Eukaryota, Metazoa, Chordata, Actinopteri, Holocentriformes, Holocentridae.